CAAAAUGAAAUACCUGGGAGGCUGAAG
This 27-nucleotide non-coding RNA is filed under the name Cricetulus griseus (Chinese hamster). The record is from RNAcentral. Lineage: Eukaryota; Metazoa; Chordata; Mammalia; Rodentia; Cricetidae.